Sciurus carolinensis (gray squirrel) is the source of this 489-nucleotide non-coding RNA. The record is from the annotation of a RefSeq genome assembly. Lineage: Eukaryota; Metazoa; Chordata; Mammalia; Rodentia; Sciuridae.
CAGUCCACACCAGGUCUGAAUUCCAGAAGGGUUAUAUUCACCAUGGCCGGGACCCUUCUCCUCCUCCUGCUGUUGUCUCACUUCUCAGGUUCCCUCUCCCAGCCUAUGUUGACUCAGCUCCCCUCCAUCUGUGAAUCUCCUGGGGCAACUGUCAGACUCUCCUGUACCCUGAGCAGCGGUUAUGUUGUUACUGGUUACCACAUAUCCUGGUACCAGCAGAAGCGAGAGAGCUCUCCCCGGUUUCUGCUACGAUACCAUUCAGACUCAGAUAAGAACCAGGGCUCUGGAGUUCCCAGCCGCUUCUCUGGAUAUAAAGAUGCCUCAGCCAAUGCAGGAAUUUUACUCAUCUCUGGCCUUCAGCAAGAGGAUGAGGCUGAUUAUUACUGUCUAACACUUCACACUAACAGUGGCACUUACACAGUGCUUCAGACCAAGAGGGAAGUGAGAUUAAAACCUCCCCAUUGUUCUCCCUGCCUUAUGCUGUCAUAG